This 253-nucleotide ribosomal RNA is filed under the name uncultured bacterium. Its description in RNAcentral is "partial 16S ribosomal RNA". It matches the Rfam family "Bacterial small subunit ribosomal RNA", at positions 524 to 776 of the family's 1533-position model. The record is from RNAcentral.
UACGUAGGCAGCGAGCGUUGUUCGGAAUUACUGGGCGUAAAGUGUGCGCAGGCGGCCGCGCAAGUCGAGUGUGAAAGCCCCGGGCUUAACUUGGGAAUUGCGCUCGAAACUACGUGGCUGGAGUAUGGCAGAGGAAGGUGGAAUUCCACGUGUAGCGGUGAAAUGCGUAGAGAUGUGGAGGAACACCGAUGGCGAAGGCAGCCUUCUGGGCCAAUACUGACGCUCAUGCACGAAAGCGUGGGGAGCAAACAGG